This 73-nucleotide transfer RNA is filed under the name Bidens biternata. Its description in RNAcentral is "tRNA-Ala". RNAcentral also lists the same sequence under 3 other names. The record is from RNAcentral. Lineage: Eukaryota; Viridiplantae; Streptophyta; Magnoliopsida; Asterales; Asteraceae.
CGUAGGAACUACGAGAUUACCCCAAGGACGCCUUCGGCUGGGAGCAGCCUAAACCGUGAAAACGGGGUUGUGG